This 253-nucleotide ribosomal RNA is filed under the name uncultured bacterium. Its description in RNAcentral is "partial 16S ribosomal RNA". It matches the Rfam family "Bacterial small subunit ribosomal RNA", at positions 524 to 776 of the family's 1533-position model. The record is from RNAcentral.
UACGUAGGGUCCGAGCGUUGUCCGGAAUUACUGGGCGUAAAGAGCUCGUAGGUGGUUUGUCGCGUUGUUCGUGAAAACUCACAGCUCAACUGUGGGCGUGCGGGCGAUACGGGCAGACUGGAGUACUGCAGGGGAGACUGGAAUUCCUGGUGUAGCGGUGAAAUGCGCAGAUAUCAGGAGGAACACCGGUGGCGAAGGCGGGUCUCUGGGCCGAAAUUGACGCUGAGGAGCGAAAGCGUGGGGAGCAAACAGG